GCAUGAAAUAAAAGUUUCAUAGAAAAAAAUUACAACUUCUUUUGAUCUUUUUUAUAUUUUUCCACAGGUUAAUGAAAUGUAGUAAAUUAAGAAGAGGUUACUACUGAAAUAGAGAUAAUUAGGGCAUAUUUAAAUUUAUGUCGUUUUCCUCUUUGCAAUGGAAUGACCCAUAUGUAUAUAGUUAGUAUAAUUUAAGAAAGUAUCGCACAAAUUUGUCAAAAUGACUGUGCGAACUAUCUUAUGGACAUGAUCAUCCAAUUUCCGAAAGCGGCGAAAAAAACCCAUUAAAAAAAAACAGUAUUUGUUUCAAUAGCAAAGCAUCGUUGCUUUUAAAAAAAACCUAAUCAAAUUCAAAUGUAAAAAUAUUUGUUUCAAAGGUUUCGUAUUACAUUUUCUUUCGAUUACGUUUUCCACAUGUAAAAGUAUUUGCCACAACAAUUUCGCAUUUCUAAUGACUGUUUCUCCAUACGACGACAUUGAAGUUGACGUUUACGUUGUUCCAUCGAUCAUUCUAGCAGAAACACGUUUUGCGGCGGUAGCAAUUUUCAUUUGUGGAUUAUAGAUAAAUGUUUGUACUACAAACACAAAUUUUAGUGAAAGUGAAUAUUUUAAAACAUUUUACGCUUAGUGAGGCUGUGCAAAAGGAACUUAGUUUGCAUUUUCAUUGGUCUUCCUGCUGCAUGACGCGCUGCUCAACGACUCCGUGCAAAAGUUGAUUUUCCAGUGCAUUUUAAUUUGAGGCGACAUUUUUGCGUGAAAGGACUAUUCCAAAGUAACGCUGUGCGACAGGUGAUUUUCCAGUGAUUUUUUUAAAUUAUCAGUAUGAGUGAUGAAGUGAUACCAUCGACGUCUACGGAGCUGUCAUUAUUUGCCGAGCAACGUCCGUUGGAAGAUGAGUUCCCUACAACCAAAAAUGUCAAAAAUCAGUCAGUCAGAUAAACUGAACAUGGCAUAUUACGACGCCAUGCUUGGUGCAAGUGAUGCAAGAGAAUACGGAAGGACAGUUGUAUAGCUUGGGUGAUUACACCCAAUAUAUGAAAUAUAAUAAUAACUUUUUGGCACAGCAGGUGUUUUUAUCAUUUACAUUAAAACAUCUCCAAUAAAUAAUAUAUCGUCGUUUAAAGUACAAACCCGCGUAUCAACAAACCGCGUAAGUUAAUUUGCUUAAAUUAUUUUCUAGAUAGUAAAAAUACUCAUAUUUCAAAAUGGUUUUCUUUUUUUUAAAGCAAUCGAAUUUC
RNAcentral lists this long non-coding RNA (1238 nucleotides) under Rhagoletis pomonella (apple maggot). RNAcentral's name for it is "uncharacterized LOC118745761, transcript variant X2". The record is from RNAcentral. Lineage: Eukaryota; Metazoa; Arthropoda; Insecta; Diptera; Tephritidae.